RNA transcript from Cyphomyrmex costatus, 2133 nucleotides. It is a transcript of the gene named UPF0587 protein C1orf123 homolog, with no coding region annotated. The transcript is spliced from 4 exons. The record is from RefSeq and is a predicted model, not a curated record. Lineage: Eukaryota; Metazoa; Arthropoda; Insecta; Hymenoptera; Formicidae.
UCUGGCGGCUGGCCGCAGCCCGCAGCUGCCAUAUACUGUAUUGUCGCCGUGCCGUAUCGACCUCCUAUCUCAAUUCUGCAACAAAAGUCGAGUAAAGAAGUUUCAAGUUUCGGGCCGGCUCGUCUUCAAAUUUGGAGCAAGUGUGGAACGGAGUGAGUGGACACGCAUUUAUUUCCGAGAGGGAGACAAUAAUACACGUUGAAAACUGGCAAUUUUAUUCGCUCAUUGAGAACUGGUCGCUUUGUUUACCUGCUACUGUCUGCUGCGGACGGCUAAUCGGAUUAAUCGAAUAUUCGCCCAAGUGAUAAGCUCGCCAUUUGCAAAGCAAACGCAAUACCGCGCAAUACCGCACGAGAAUUCUUUUGUAAACUUAUACGAGCUGACAUUUUCAUUUCAUCAAAGAAGUCUCAAAGGAUACUGGUAUCCCACGAUUGAAAAUGGUGAAAGUAGCGCUGUGCGUUACAUGUAGACUCGACAACAUCGAGGAACUGAAGCCAUCGGGGCCUGAGUUCAGAUGGUGCCUCAAAUUCAUUUGUUGCAACUGCUCCAAUAAAUCAGAGAAGUGGAACUAUCUCUCUUUGGACGAGUCGAUGCCGUUGCAACGGGGUAACGGGGUCUGUCAUUUUAUAUGCAAGUGCAAGUUCUGCUCCCGAGAGAACUCCGUGACGAUAAUCGAGGAUUCGAUUAAGUCGUUCACCAAGGACGACGAGGGAAAAUUCAAAACGAUUGUCGUGUUUGACUGUCGGGGUAUAGAACCAGAUAACUUUUCCGCAGGGGAAGGAUGGGUGGCCAAGGCUGCGAAUGGUGGCAAGGAAUUCAAUGAUGUGGAUUUGGAUGAGGGCGAAUGGGAGGACUAUUGCGACAAGAUCAUGGAACCCGUUGGAAUAUACGAGUUUCAGCAUAGGUUCCAGAAGAUGAAGUGAAAUCGUGUUUGGAAAAUAUACCUACCUAAUGCGCAUUUCGGUCAUCAGAAUUUUAUAACAGAUAAUGGAUUUUCCAGGAGGGUUAACGAAGCAAAGCGACACAUGUCUGAUUAGAAAUAUAUGUCCUUGGACAAUGAAGUAAUAAUUGCGCACACAGAAACAUUCUUCGAGGUCCUCUCUCGUCAAGGCAAAGAGUAAAAGCAGUACCAGUCCAACGACAUAAUAUAAUUUAUUCAUAAUCAUAUAAAAAAACCAUUUUAUUUCAUAAAUGGCUUGGUACACAAGAGAUGUCGUUUGCAACAAUAAUUCCACUUUGCCUCCUAGCACGUUCGGAGUUGCCGAUUCAUACCCUGCGUGAAUAAUCGAGUGACUAGUGUCGUUUUGCGGCAAGGGCGAUGCUCGGAAAGCCAUGCGGUUUACCAAUUUGUGAAUCAAUUCGGACAACUUGCCUGUCCUCCAUCACCAACGCAAACUGCAUUCUUGGAAUGUCGAUGCGAUCGCAUAAAAAUCAUCGAACUUAUGACAACGACGCACUAAUCCCGCCUUACGAUUAUAAAAAAUUAAAAUAUUCCUUGAUUAAAAAAUUAUGUUAUAUACAGUGUCUUCUUUUUUUUUUUCACGUAUAAAACUCUCGAACAACUUCCCACUUAACGAUACUCGGCGUAUCGCGCAAAGACUUUCGAUCGGAGUAACUCUCGCAGUUCUGUCUCCACAAUAAGCUACAAACGAAAAAAUCACGAUGAAUUACGAUCGAAAAGAAAUCAUAGAGACAAUAUUUAUGAUAAUAAAUCACAAUAAAUUCAAAAGAAACGAAGAAAGGAAGAAACAAUAUGUGACUUCGUUUACUUGAUGAUUGCCUAAUGCACUAAUGCUACGCUACAUUUGUCUAAUGCUUUCGUUUACUAUGCUUUCUAAUAUCUAACACAAAUAAAUAUAUCGCGUGCGCAUUACAAUCCACCGUUCCCGGAGAAUCUUUAACGUAUUGAAUCACAUGUAAGUAACCGCUAAAAAUUUUUAAUCUAACAAUCGAUAACGCUAUCAGUCUAUUCUCACAAAAAUAUCACUAUGACCGAACAUACCGUGUCGACGAUACAACCAGAGUCCAAAAUUAUGAAAUCGAUUAAAAUUUAAUAAAUAACAUAAAUAACACAAACCUUUAAAAUCUUUAAACAAAUAUACUCUUUAUAAAGUAGAUAUAUUAACUACGUGU